Long non-coding RNA from Mustela erminea (ermine), 178 nucleotides. RefSeq lists it as uncharacterized. The record is from RefSeq and is a predicted model, not a curated record. NCBI's taxonomy places the organism in Eukaryota, Metazoa, Chordata, Mammalia, Carnivora, Mustelidae. The transcript is spliced from 2 exons.
GUCAGGACAAAGUCAGAGGACACUAAUGCAUAUGUAUACUUGGUGGAAAGAGAUUGAAAAGAAGGAAGUUGAAACACUGACACGAUACAAUACGGAAGGAAGCUCUGGGUCAUGGCUCUAGUGCUCUCUGCGGUCACAGCCAGGAAUCCCUGCGGCAGCAGGAAAAGGCAGGAAAAGA